Molecule: ribosomal RNA, 565 nt
Filed under: uncultured ciliate
Lineage: Eukaryota; Ciliophora
Description: SSU rRNA
Rfam family: Eukaryotic small subunit ribosomal RNA
Source: RNAcentral
GAGGAGCCUGAGAAACGGCUACUGCAUCCAAGGAAGGCAGCAGGCGCGCAAAUUACCCAAUCCCGAUUCGGGGAGGUAGUGGCAAUAAAUACUGAUACAGGGCUCUUUAGGGCCUUGUAAUUGGAAUGAGUACAAUUUAAAUCCCUUAACAAGGAACAAUUGGAGGGCAAGUCUGGUGCCAGCAGCCGCGGUAAUUCCAGCUCCAAUAGCGUAUAUUAAAGUUGUUGCAGUUAAAAAGCUCGUAGUUGAAACUCUGGCUGUUCGAUCCUCGAGCUCUGUAGCCGAGGACUCGACAGUCAUCCGCUUGCAAAUAUGUGUUCGCCUUUAACCGGGUGACCAUAUGAGCAAGCAAUUUACCUUGAGAAAAACAGAGUGUUCCAGGCAGGUUUGUCCGGAAUGCAUUAGCAUGGAAUAAUAGAAUAUGACUGAAGUCGAUUUAUUGGUUUGAGGCUUUAGUAAUGAUUAAUAGGAACAGUCGGGGGCAUUGGUACUUGACAGUCAGAGGUGAAAUUCUAGGAUUUGUCAAAGACUAACAAAUGCGAAAGCAUUUGCCAGGAUGUUUUCA